CCUACGGGAGGCAGCAGUAGGGAAUCUUGCACAAUGGGCGAAAGCCUGAUGCAGCAACGCCGCGUGGGUGAAGAAGGCCUUCGGAUUGUAAAACACUGUUGUUAGGGAAGAAAGUGCGUGAGAGUAAAUGCUUAUGUUUCGACGGUACCGACACAGCAAGCACCGGCUAACUACGUGCCAGCAGCCGCGGUAAUACGGAGGUGGCAAGCGUUAUACGGAUUUAAUGGGCGUAAAGGGAACGCAGGCGGUCUAUUGAGUCUGAUGUGAAAGCCUUCGGCUUAACCGGUGUAGUGCAUUUGAUACUGGGAGGCUGGAGUGCAGGAGAGGGGAGUGGAACUCCAGGUGUAGCGGUGAAAUGCGUAGAGAUAUGGAAGAACACCGGUGGCGAAGGCGGCACUCUGGACAAUAACUGACGCUGAGGUGCGAAAGCGUGGGUAGCAAACAGGAUUAGAUACCCCUGUAGUC
Molecule: ribosomal RNA, 465 nt
Filed under: uncultured bacterium
Lineage: Bacteria
Description: partial 16S ribosomal RNA
Rfam family: Bacterial small subunit ribosomal RNA
Source: RNAcentral